AUGAGCCGGUUCCAAAUGCUUGCCGAAAUGAGCUACUGCCGCACCCUGCUCAUGCAAAAAGGAACGAGGUCACUUGCCCUGACUACCCCUGCAAAAGCCAGGGUGGCCCAUCGAGUGUGCAUCAGGGUGGCCCAUGAAACCAAUGAACCAGGCCGCACCAGCUCCGAGGCACGCGCGUACGCUCUCGCAGCCCAACUCACGGAUUCAGCAGCGGCCAGCCGGGCGCCGGCAACCAGAAGGCCGCCGAUCAACGGCACGACGCCGGACGCCGAACUCCUCCAACGCGAGACGCGACUAGCCGACUACGCUUUGAGUCCAAGAGACUCAUUUCGUGAUUUCAAUUUCGAUAAUCUCAUGAGUUUGGCUAAACUAUACCCUCAGGAUUUUGAUUCCGGGGAUUUGAGGGAUCUUGAUAAGGAUCUAUGUCUCUAUAUUGCUGAUGUGCGCACAGAUGCUAGCUUUUCCAACAUAGCAACAAUCACCGAGCUUUCAAAAAAAAUGGGUAAGAUUAGCUCCAGAUCCGCCCCUGCAGGUAGCAGGCUUCCCUUUUCGGCCACUGACUACCAAAAGGAAAAAGACCCAGAACCCCCGUCCCCCGACCUGAUCCGCUCCCCCAGUGCGCCGCCGCGACCGCCCCUUUCACCAGCGCGCCGUCGCGGCCUCUCCCUACCCCAGCGCGCCGCCGGUGCCUCCCCCAGCACGCCGUCGCGGCCUCCCCUCUCCUCCAGUGCGCAGCCCUGUCCCCACCUUCUCCCUCGGCUCCGGCCGCUGCCCCACACGUUCUCCCUCGGCUCCGGCCGCCGCCCCCACCUUCUCCCUCGCCUCCGGCCGCAGCCCCCACCUUCUCCCUCGGCUCCGGCCGCAGCCCCCACCUUCUCCCUCGGAUCCGGCCACCGCCCCGCACUCCAAUCACAGAUCGAGUCGUCGCCGUUGCCUUACCCUAGAUCGCACCGCCCAAAACCAUCUGUCGCCACCACGGCCACCCGAACGACGUCCUCACGCGCCGCCGCUAUCUCUCCUUGCUCCGCCGCCAGCCAAGCACCUCCUCACCUCCAUUGUUGUUCAGCACUUCCUCCAGUUCAUCCCAUGGCGGCUGCGCUCGUGGCCGAGCUCACUCCAAUCCCUCCACCACGCUACCUCCUUCCGCUGGUGAGGCUUCGUCGCUGCAACGCCCUGGCCAUUCACUGUCGCCAUCCCGGGCCGUUCAAUGAGACAGCGCCAAGUCGUUCGACACCGCAACUCAGGAGUCUGCCUCCUUUGACAGCUCCUGAUCUCCGGAACAACUAUGGCUCCCUGCUGGCACAACUUGCUCUCGACGACCUCCUUUGA
This 1329-nucleotide ribosomal RNA is filed under the name Triticum aestivum (bread wheat). RNAcentral's name for it is "partial small subunit ribosomal RNA". Lineage: Eukaryota; Viridiplantae; Streptophyta; Magnoliopsida; Poales; Poaceae. The record is from RNAcentral.